UACGUAGGGGGCGAGCGUUGUCCGGAUUUAUUGGGCGUAAAGAGCGUGUAGGCGGCCAGGUAGGUCUGCUGUGAAAACUCGAGGCUCAACCUCGAGACGUCGGCGGAAACCAUCUGGCUAGAGUCCGGAAGAGGAGAGUGGAAUUCCUGGUGUAGCGGUGAAAUGCGCAGAUAUCAGGAAGAACACCCGUGGCGAAGGCGGCUCUCUGGAAUGCAACUGACGCUGAGACGCGAAAGCGUGGGGAGCAAACAGG
RNAcentral lists this ribosomal RNA (253 nucleotides) under uncultured bacterium. RNAcentral's name for it is "partial 16S ribosomal RNA". It matches the Rfam family "Bacterial small subunit ribosomal RNA", at positions 524 to 776 of the family's 1533-position model. The record is from RNAcentral.